RNAcentral lists this ribosomal RNA (254 nucleotides) under uncultured bacterium. Its description in RNAcentral is "partial 16S ribosomal RNA". It matches the Rfam family "Bacterial small subunit ribosomal RNA", at positions 524 to 776 of the family's 1533-position model. The record is from RNAcentral.
CACGUAGGGCGCAAGCGUUGUCCGGAUUCAUUGGGCGUAAAGAGCUCGUAGGCGGUUUGGUAAGUCGGGUGUGAAAACUCAGGGCUCAACUCUGAGAUGCCACCCGAUACUGCUAUGACUGGAGUCCGGUAGAGGAGUAUGGAAUUCCUGGUGUAGCGGUGAAAUGCGCAGAUAUCAGGAGGAACACCAAUUGCGAAGGCAGUACUCUGGGCCGGAACUGACGCUGAGGAGCGAAAGCGUGGGUAGCGAACAGG